AGCGUACACGGUGGAUGCCCUGGCAGUCAGAGGCGAUGAAGGACGUGCUAAUCUGCGAUAAGCGUCGGUAAGGUGAUAUGAACCGUUAUAACCGGCGAUUUCCGAAUGGGGAAACCCAGUGUGAUUCGUCACACUAUCAUUAACUGAAUCCAUAGGUUAAUGAGGCGAACCGGGGGAACUGAAACAUCUAAGUACCCCGAGGAAAAGAAAUCAACCGAGAUUCCCCCAGUAGCGGCGAGCGAACGGGGAGCAGCCCAGAGCCUGAAUCAGUGUGUGUGUUAGUGGAAGCGUCUGGAAAGGCGCGCGAUACAGGGUGACAGCCCCGUACACAAAAAUGCACAUACUGUGAGCUCGAUGAGUAGGGCGGGACACGUGGUAUCCUGUCUGAAUAUGGGGGGACCAUCCUCCAAGGCUAAAUACUCCUGACUGACCGAUAGUGAACCAGUACCGUGAGGGAAAGGCGAAAAGAACCCCGGCGAGGGGAGUGAAAAAGAACCUGAAACCGUGUACGUACAAGCAGUGGGAGCACAGAGCAAUCUGUGUGACUGCGUACCUUUUGUAUAAUGGGUCAGCGACUUAUAUUCUGUAGCAAGGUUAACCGAAUAGGGGAGCCGAAGGGAAACCGAGUCUUAACUGGGCGUUAAGUUGCAGGGUAUAGACCCGAAACCCGGUGAUCUAGCCAUGGGCAGGUUGAAGGUUGGGUAACACUAACUGGAGGACCGAACCGACUAAUGUUGAAAAAUUAGCGGAUGACUUGUGGCUGGGGGUGAAAGGCCAAUCAAACCGGGAGAUAGCUGGUUCUCCCCGAAAGCUAUUUAGGUAGCGCCUCGUGAAUUCAUCUCCGGGGGUAGAGCACUGUUUCGGCAAGGGGGUCAUCCCGACUUACCAACCCGAUGCAAACUGCGAAUACCGGAGAAUGUUAUCACGGGAGACACACGGCGGGUGCUAACGUCCGUCGUGAAGAGGGAAACAACCCAGACCGCCAGCUAAGGUCCCAAAGUCAUGGUUAAGUGGGAAACGAUGUGGGAAGGCCCAGACAGCCAGGAUGUUGGCUUAGAAGCAGCCAUCAUUUAAAGAAAGCGUAAUAGCUCACUGGUCGAGUCGGCCUGCGCGGAAGAUGUAACGGGGCUAAACCAUGCACCGAAGCUGCGGCAGCGACGCUUAUGCGUUGUUGGGUAGGGGAGCGUUCUGUAAGCCUGCGAAGGUGUGCUGUGAGGCAUGCUGGAGGUAUCAGAAGUGCGAAUGCUGACAUAAGUAACGAUAAAGCGGGUGAAAAGCCCGCUCGCCGGAAGACCAAGGGUUCCUGUCCAACGUUAAUCGGGGCAGGGUGAGUCGACCCCUAAGGCGAGGCCGAAAGGCGUAGUCGAUGGGAAACAGGUUAAUAUUCCUGUACUUGGUGUUACUGCGAAGGGGGGACGGAGAAGGCUAUGUUGGCCGGGCGACGGUUGUCCCGGUUUAAGCGUGUAGGCUGGUUUUCCAGGCAAAUCCGGAAAAUCAAGGCUGAGGCGUGAUGACGAGGCACUACGGUGCUGAAGCAACAAAUGCCCUGCUUCCAGGAAAAGCCUCUAAGCAUCAGGUAACAUCAAAUCGUACCCCAAACCGACACAGGUGGUCAGGUAGAGAAUACCAAGGCGCUUGAGAGAACUCGGGUGAAGGAACUAGGCAAAAUGGUGCCGUAACUUCGGGAGAAGGCACGCUGAUAUGUAGGUGAAGUCCCUUGCGGAUGGAGCUGAAAUCAGUCGAAGAUACCAGCUGGCUGCAACUGUUUAUUAAAAACACAGCACUGUGCAAACACGAAAGUGGACGUAUACGGUGUGACGCCUGCCCGGUGCCGGAAGGUUAAUUGAUGGGGUCAGCGCAAGCGAAGCUCUUGAUCGAAGCCCCGGUAAACGGCGGCCGUAACUAUAACGGUCCUAAGGUAGCGAAAUUCCUUGUCGGGUAAGUUCCGACCUGCACGAAUGGCGUAAUGAUGGCCAGGCUGUCUCCACCCGAGACUCAGUGAAAUUGAACUCGCUGUGAAGAUGCAGUGUACCCGCGGCAAGACGGAAAGACCCCGUGAACCUUUACUAUAGCUUGACACUGAACAUUGAGCCUUGAUGUGUAGGAUAGGUGGGAGGCUUUGAAGUGUGGACGCCAGUCUGCAUGGAGCCGACCUUGAAAUACCACCCUUUAAUGUUUGAUGUUCUAACGUUGACCCGUGAUCCGGGUUGCGGACAGUGUCUGGUGGGUAGUUUGACUGGGGCGGUCUCCUCCUAAAGAGUAACGGAGGAGCACGAAGGUUGGCUAAUCCUGGUCGGACAUCAGGAGGUUAGUGCAAUGGCAUAAGCCAGCUUGACUGCGAGCGUGACGGCGCGAGCAGGUGCGAAAGCAGGUCAUAGUGAUCCGGUGGUUCUGAAUGGAAGGGCCAUCGCUCAACGGAUAAAAGGUACUCCGGGGAUAACAGGCUGAUACCGCCCAAGAGUUCAUAUCGACGGCGGUGUUUGGCACCUCGAUGUCGGCUCAUCACAUCCUGGGGCUGAAGUAGGUCCCAAGGGUAUGGCUGUUCGCCAUUUAAAGUGGUACGCGAGCUGGGUUUAGAACGUCGUGAGACAGUUCGGUCCCUAUCUGCCGUGGGCGCUGGAGAACUGAGGGGGGCUGCUCCUAGUACGAGAGGACCGGAGUGGACGCAUCACUGGUGUUCGGGUUGUCAUGCCAAUGGCACUGCCCGGUAGCUAAAUGCGGAAGAGAUAAGUGCUGAAAGCAUCUAAGCACGAAACUUGCCCCGAGAUGAGUUCUCCCUGACUCCUUGA
RNAcentral lists this ribosomal RNA (2789 nucleotides) under Escherichia coli. RNAcentral's name for it is "bacterial LSU rRNA". It matches the Rfam family "Bacterial large subunit ribosomal RNA". The record is from RNAcentral. Lineage: Bacteria; Pseudomonadati; Pseudomonadota; Gammaproteobacteria; Enterobacterales; Enterobacteriaceae.